UUGUCCCAGCUUCUUUGUCACUCGUGAGCCCCUGGGAUCAUACCUGAUUUUAUGCUAACGAGGUGACCAGCGGUCAGGCCCAGACAGCUUCAGGAUUGGGGAUGGUCACCUGAAAUACAACCGUGUGUUUAGGGGGUUGGACUUGGAGCCUGUGCAGCCUCAGGGGAGCCCUAUGGGAGGAUUGGGAAAAGGGGAGCUAGAGACUGAGUUAAAUAUUACAACUGAGGGGGUCAAGCAAUCAUGGCGAUGAUGUCAUGAAAUCCAAUACAAACUCUGGACUGGAAGCUCAGUGGACCUCCCUGGUUGGUGAACACGUCAUUGCUCUGGCGGGGUACAUGCCUGGGCUCCACGGAGAGAGGGCCCGGACCCCUCUGCCUUCGGGCCCUCCCAGCCCUUGCCCUAUGGGGCUCUCCGUUCAGCUGGUCUGAUGUGUCUCCUUCGUAAUGAAACCGUUAUAGCAAGCGUAGCACUUUCUUCAGGUCUGCGAGUCAGUGGAUCACUGAACCUGCGGAGGGCCGCGCUGCCCCAAGUUUGCAGCCAGCUGGUCAGAAGCUCAAGGGCCAGGGUGCCGGGGUGGCUCCAUCGGCUAAAGCCCCUGAUUUCGGCCACGGUCUCCAUCAGGCUCAGGAGCAGCUCUACUAUGACCGCAGCACAUUCCACUGCGACUUCCCCCUUCUCCUUUUGGCCUUGA
Molecule: long non-coding RNA, 691 nt
Filed under: Mustela putorius furo (domestic ferret)
Lineage: Eukaryota; Metazoa; Chordata; Mammalia; Carnivora; Mustelidae
Description: lncRNA (ENSMPUG00000026623.1)
Source: RNAcentral